CUGAUCACCCCAACAAUCCGAAGUAGGCGUUAUAGUCUAAAGGAGGCUACCAGCAGGGCAAUCCGCGGUGGGACAUCAUGAAGGGCGACAGGGCUGGAGACAUCGCUUGGAAUCGGCUGCAGAUCUGCAAUGUGACGUGAUUUGGAGAACAACAUUAGCAGGAAAGCAAUUCACUGGGACUACCAGGGACUUGCAUACCCAGUGAAGACCAACCUUAGUGAUGGGCGCCUCAAUCAUCAUCGAGUGUAUCCGGGCCAGAGAGGAAUGUCUUCUCUGGUUGGAAACUGUGGAAAGGGGCACGACGCUUCUGAGCCGAGAGAAGCCCGGACAAUGCACAGGCAGGCAAAGACUGUCCCAGAGUGCUGUGUCUCUGUGAACACCACACUGAGAGGAGUACCAACAGCCAGAGAGGAGGAGAGAAUGUCCAUCAAGACAAUGCCUCAGGCUCAACUUGCCUUCAGAGAAACUAAGCCUAAAGGAGACGUACUGUCUAAGGUUAACCAGGCCAGCAAGCCUCAAAUGCCAACAAAACUCAAAUCUAAUGUUAGUGGUCAGCAUAUGGCUGCUGACUUUACAUCUUACACAAUAAAGGCACUAAACAAAGUCCCCACUGUCUUAUCACGAUCAGAAAAGGAUUUGCUCUUAUUCAGGAAUCUAACAGAGCUGUUGACAGGACGCACUGCACUCUUGAGAAUGUCUAAGGUAGGUUUCUAAGGAUGCAAACUAAAAUAUUUGUUAAUUAGCUCAAUUUAGUCAUUUCACAAUGUAAGCACAUUCUAAAACAGCAUGUUGUCUAUGAUAGACACAAUUCUGAAAUUUUUAUUUUAAAAAUAAUGUGAAAAAACCAAAUAGCAUAAGUGCAAUGAGUUAAGAAAUGCAAAAUUUUCUGUGUGUUACAGAGAUGCCCUGAAGAAUCUGCAAAUACACUCACUAUUCUAUAGUCUUACAGUCAGUCAGUCACUGGGUAAGAGGUCAAUAUCCUAAACCCAAUGCAUGUCUCUGUACUAAUGCCCCGUGGUUAGAAGUGGAAGUGAAACCUGUUAAAAUACCAUCUAGAGUUCUGUGCAGGAGAAUGUGGGACAAUGAUCUUGUACCCUGUAAAGAUUUGUCAGCUCUAUUGCUUUAAUAAAGUGCUGAUUGGUCAGUGGCCAGGCAGGAAGUAGAGGUGGGGCAACAAGAACAAGAGAAUUCUGGGAAGAGGAAAGGCUGUGUCUGCUAUCAUCACCUAGUCACAGAGGAAGCAAGAUGAGAAUGUCUCGCUGGUAAAAGGUACCAAGCCAUGUGGCUAACAUAGACAAGAAUAAUGAACUAAUUUAUGAUAUAAGAAUUUUAAUUAAUAUGAAGCAUAAGCUAAUAGGCCAACUGGUUUAUAAUUAAUGUAGGCCUCUGUGUGUUUCUUUGGGAUUGAAUGGCUUCGGGACUGGUGGGUCAGAAACCCCAGCCAACACAGGAGGGGCCCACAGGCCUACCCUUAGUGAGGAGCUAUUGUCAGUUAGUGACUCCUGGGGGAAGGUGGCCUGUGCCUCAGUGAUUGGCCAAUAUAAACACAGGCAGCAGGGUAAUUAAAAGGACGUAAAGUUGGGAGAGAGACAUGGUGACUGCAUGAAAAAAACAAAAACCAAAAAACCAUGCUGGUUAGCAUGCAUCUCCGUGGUCUUAAUAUUUUAUUUCAGCUGAACACUUGGGAGGUGGGGACAGAAGGUUGUUUGAAGUCAGCCUGGGCUAUAUGAGACCCUGCUUUAAAAAUAAUCAUGGUGGUGCACUCCUUUAGUCCCAGCACUGAGGCACAGGCAGGAGGAUUAUAUUUCCAUCUGAACUUAAAUAAUAUUUUCUUAGUGAGAGUAUUACAAUCUCCAAAUUAAGCCUACCACUUCCCAAGGGUAAGUUUCCACAGUCAGUUCGUCAGAACUACCAAAUGUGUAUGACUCACGUCGCAACAGCAGACUGACAGGCGAGUCUAUUGGUAGAGUCGGGAAAACCACACAGAACACCUAGCACCUGUUUCUCUGUUCCUUGUUAUUGGCUCAUUUCAAAGCUCAGAAUGGAGCCGACCUGUGUGGAGGGUGGCGUGGGGCCUGCUCCUCUCUUGAACGCGGUGCGUGAUCACCAGGAAACCAAGCUGUUGUCUGCC
Alexandromys fortis (reed vole) is the source of this 2131-nucleotide long non-coding RNA. RefSeq lists it as uncharacterized. The transcript is spliced from 4 exons. Lineage: Eukaryota; Metazoa; Chordata; Mammalia; Rodentia; Cricetidae. The record is from RefSeq and is a predicted model, not a curated record.